Molecule: long non-coding RNA, 805 nt
Filed under: Anas zonorhyncha (Eastern spot-billed duck)
Lineage: Eukaryota; Metazoa; Chordata; Aves; Anseriformes; Anatidae
Description: lncRNA (ENSAZOG00000002804.1)
Source: RNAcentral
GAAAAAAAGAGUGUGAUGGUAUAUUAGAUUGCUUAUAGGAAUAAAGUAGCUGCUUUGUACUCUCAUUUUCACACUGUAGCAGACCUUGAAAACCCUGGAAGAGGGCCAUCAAACCUGCUUCAAAGGACAACCUCUGUAACAGCACCCCAGAACUGGGAGAAAGCUUUGUUAACAGCUGAUCUCAACAUUUUUUUACUACUCUGUCAGAGACUGUCUCUAGUCAUACCUGGAAAAUCAUGGCUGAAAACAGAUCUUGCUCUCUGUGAAUGGACAGUUCAGCAUAUCGCCUCUCCUGGGUACGGGGGUGAGAGUCUACCACCUAUGCCUAUGGUCUCUCUGCUUCACAAGCACACCCGGUACCUUAUGGCCCAGGCCAAGAAGGAUUUAAAUAGGACCACAGGAAUUAUGAACAGGAUUCUUAGCUCAAAAUCAGGCAUCCAGCUCUGACAUGUUCAAUGUAGGCUGCCACAAGAUGUUUUACAAAAUGUUUCUGGACCAUCAUUAAGCAAAAAACUUGUUUAAGUGUUACUCCCUUUGAAUGAAAAUGACUUACCACUGGCAGGUUUGAUACAACUGCUUUACAAAUCAACCAAGGGACUGACAGGCACAUUUAUGUGAGAAAUAUAUAUGGAGUUAGAGCACAAUACUCUUAGUGGCAUUUGCUGGGGAAAUUUUUGUCUGCAAAUUGACUUUAAAAAACAAAAACAAAAGCAAAACACCCUUAUUUAAAUUAACUAUCAAAAAUAAUGAAUUCCUGGAGGUGCUAGUUUCCUACCUCCAAGCUGCGUGUCCUGGUGAGCAGGGC